GAUAACUGACUUGUGGUAGCCCAAGUGUUCAUAGUGAUGUUGCUUUUUGAUCCUUCGAUGUCAGCUCUUCCUAUCAUUGUGAAGUAGAAUUCACUGAGUGUUAGAUUGUUCACCCACCAAUACAGAACAUGAGCUAGGUUUAGACCGUUGUGAGAUAAGUU
Molecule: non-coding RNA, 161 nt
Filed under: Selaginella moellendorffii
Lineage: Eukaryota; Viridiplantae; Streptophyta; Lycopodiopsida; Selaginellales; Selaginellaceae
Description: rRNA LSU_rRNA_eukarya
Rfam family: Eukaryotic large subunit ribosomal RNA
Source: Rfam by way of RNAcentral